This 426-nucleotide ribosomal RNA is filed under the name Triticum aestivum (bread wheat). RNAcentral's name for it is "partial small subunit ribosomal RNA". Lineage: Eukaryota; Viridiplantae; Streptophyta; Magnoliopsida; Poales; Poaceae. The record is from RNAcentral.
AUGAUGGAGCACCCAGAAUCUCCGAUGCUCCAGGAUUCAAUUGAGCCAGGAUCAGCUGAGGUCGACUUCCUCCCCCUCCUCUGCCCGGUCGAGCUUGCCUGUCAAGGCGCCCCCAUCCAGGAUGCUGCCAAACAUGGCGGCCUCGUACAGGUAGUUCACCUGCCAGGCGUGGUGGCUCGCAUGGGCGAGGAGCCAGGCCAUUUCGUCGACGAGACCAUUGGAGAAGAGCCGGGCCAGUUGCAGGCGCACGGAUUCAGCGAGGUGCUCCUCACGCUGCUCGUCCACCUUGCCCUGCCGAACGUACUCCAGCGGGCCGGUGACGAGGGACCACCAGAGGGCGCCGAGCAGCUGGUCCUGGCGGUCGAGGAGGAACUGGCGCACAUGGUUGCAUGUUUCCUCGCCGUCGCAGGUGUACUCGGGGUCUAG